This 467-nucleotide ribosomal RNA is filed under the name uncultured bacterium. RNAcentral's name for it is "partial 16S ribosomal RNA". It matches the Rfam family "Bacterial small subunit ribosomal RNA", at positions 29 to 507 of the family's 1533-position model. The record is from RNAcentral.
ACGAACGCUGGCGGCGUGCUUAACACAUGCAAGUCGAACGGGAAGGCCCUGCUUUUGUGGGGUGCUCGAGUGGCGAACGGGUGAGUAACACAUGAGUAACCUGCCCUUGACUUUGGGAUAACUUCAGGAAACUGGGGCUAAUACCGGAUAGGAGCUCCUGCUGCAUGGUGGGGGUUGGAAAGUUUCGGCGGUUGGGGAUGGACUCGCGGCUUAUCAGCUUGUUGGUGGGGUAGUGGCUUACCAAGGCUUUGACGGGUAGCCGGCCUGAGAGGGUGACCGGCCACAUUGGGACUGAGAUACGGCCCAGACUCCUACGGGAGGCAGCAGUGGGGAAUAUUGCACAAUGGGCGGAAGCCUGAUGCAGCAACGCCGCGUGCGGGAUGACGGCCUUCGGGUUGUAAACCGCUUUCGCCUGUGACGAAGCGUGAGUGACGGUAAUGGGUAAAGAAGCACCGGCUAACUACGUG